UUCUGCUCCGUUGGCCUGGAGUCGCUCAGAAAGGGACCCCUAUUCAUGGGUCCGAUAUUAGCUCCGGCCACCCUUUCCAAAACUCUUAACAUGGCCUGGGACAAAGCGUCAUCCCUCGCGGCCCGAUCAUACGGCCCAUUCUCAUCCACCGGUGGUGGUCGUGCUACUCCAGCGGGUAUGUGUUCAGAAGACGAAGAUCCAGCUUGAGUACUACCUCGGCC
Molecule: long non-coding RNA, 221 nt
Filed under: Gossypium barbadense (sea-island cotton)
Lineage: Eukaryota; Viridiplantae; Streptophyta; Magnoliopsida; Malvales; Malvaceae
Description: long non-coding RNA (GBAR_LNC004252)
Source: RNAcentral